This 1197-nucleotide long non-coding RNA is filed under the name Homo sapiens (human). RNAcentral describes it as "long non-coding RNA NONHSAT157632.1". The record is from RNAcentral. Lineage: Eukaryota; Metazoa; Chordata; Mammalia; Primates; Hominidae.
CGUGAACAUGAUUUCUGGAUCAGUUAGUGGGGACAAAGAAGCAGAGGCUCUUCAGGGAGCUGGAACAGAUGGUGAUCAAAAUGGACUUGAUCACCCAUCUGUUGAAGUUUCCUUGGAUGAAAACUCAGGAAUGUUAGUAGACGGGUUUGAAAGGACCUUUGAUGGGAAGCUUAAGUGUCGGUACUGCAACUAUGCCAGCAAAGGAACAGCCCGGCUUAUUGAACACAUCAGAAUCCACACAGGUGAAAAACCUCAUCGAUGUCAUCUUUGUCCAUUUGCAUCUGCUUAUGAGCGUCAUCUGGAAGCCCAUAUGCGUUCUCAUACUGGAGAAAAACCAUACAAAUGUGAAUUAUGUUCCUUCCGCUGCAGUGAUCGAAGUAACUUGUCCCAUCAUCGAAGGCGCAAGCAUAAAAUGGUACCAAUUAAAGGUACUAGGUCUUCCUUAAGCAGCAAGAAAAUGUGGGGGGUUUUACAGAAGAAAACAAGCAAUCUGGGCUAUAGCAGAAGAGCACUAAUCAACUUAAGUCCACCUUCCAUGGUGGUUCAGAAACCAGACUACCUUAACGAUUUUACCCACGAAAUCCCAAAUAUCCAGACUGACUCCUAUGAAAGUAUGGCAAAAACCACACCAACUGGUGGCCUUCCAAGGGACCCCCAAGAACUCAUGGUUGAUAACCCUUUGAAUCAGCUCUCGACUCUAGCAGGGCAGUUGUCCAGUCUGCCACCCGAAAACCAAAACCCUGCAUCCCCUGAUGUAGUUCCCUGCCCUGAUGAAAAGCCUUUCAUGAUUCAGCAGCCCUCUACCCAAGCAGUAGUUUCUGCCGUAUCAGCAAGUAUUCCUCAGAGCUCCUCUCCCACAAGCCCAGAACCUCGGCCAUCCCAUAGUCAAAGGAACUAUAGUCCAGUGGCAGGUCCAAGCAGUGAGCCAAGUGCCCACACGAGCACUCCCAGCAUAGGAAACAGCCAGCCAAGCACCCCAGCCCCAGCCCUGCCGGUCCAGGACCCUCAGCUUCUGCACCACUGCCAGCACUGUGAUAUGUACUUUGCAGACAACAUCCUUUACACUAUUCAUAUGGGAUGUCAUGGGUAUGAAAAUCCUUUUCAGUGUAAUAUAUGUGGAUGCAAAUGUAAAAACAAGUAUGAUUUUGCCUGUCAUUUUGCAAGAGGGCAACAUAACCAACAUUGAUUGAAAAUAGU